This is a long non-coding RNA of Astatotilapia calliptera (eastern happy), 383 nucleotides long. The record is from Ensembl. NCBI's taxonomy places the organism in Eukaryota, Metazoa, Chordata, Actinopteri, Cichliformes, Cichlidae.
AAGAUGAAAAGCUCUUUGAUGAACAGACAGACCGGAAUGAGCUCAGAUUGUUUUCAUUGCAGGUUUUCCCUGACCUCAUUAACUGUGUCUGUGCACCAAUACUGUGCAUCUGUAUGCUCGGCCUCAUGUUUUGGAAGUUUCCUCCUCUGCCUCCCCACCCACUCUUCAACACCCCUGUGGUACAUUCCCCCCUCCUCGAUGCAUUCCUCGUUGACCUCGGCAGGCUGAGGAGUCCCUCUGUCAGUGAGCUCUGUGAGAGUGGGACUGAGCCUUCACUCGUCGGUGGAAGCAGCUGUUAAGUUCAGGGAGUUCUACAUGGGUUUGACUUGGCUUUUAGAACAUUUUUCAGGCAGCGCCGCCUCACCAAACCACCCCGAGUUCAA